AUCGCUUCUCGGCCUUUUGGCUAAGAUCAAGUGUAGUAUCUGUCCUUAUCAGUUUAAUAUCUACAGAUAGGUAGCCGUGUUGGUCUGCCAUAGUCAAAAUAAAAAAAUUCCUUCCAGUAGCACCUUAA
Molecule: small nuclear RNA, 128 nt
Filed under: Podarcis muralis (Common wall lizard)
Lineage: Eukaryota; Metazoa; Chordata; Lepidosauria; Squamata; Lacertidae
Description: U2 spliceosomal RNA (ENSPMRG00000002117.1)
Rfam family: U2 spliceosomal RNA
About the family: U2 is a small nuclear RNA (snRNA) component of the spliceosome (involved in pre-mRNA splicing). Complementary binding between U2 snRNA (in an area lying towards the 5' end but 3' to hairpin I) and the branchpoint sequence (BPS) of the intron results the bulging out of an unpaired adenosine, on the BPS, which initiates a nucleophilic attack at the intronic 5' splice site, thus starting the first of two transesterification reactions that mediate splicing.
Source: Rfam by way of RNAcentral